UUGCGACUGGUCUCUUAUGAGCUCCUAAUAGGUGAUUCCAGGCAAAAAAAAAGGCUCCCUGGAAUCAGAGAGCCACCCAAUUAUUCCCCUAAUGAGCUCACGGUCCCAGCUGGAGACAGUCCUGGCUGGCUUGUAUUUCUCUUCCUCUGCAACUUGUCUUCCUUUGAAGACAGACUUUGACCUUGUCUUCCUUUGCAACUUGUGGCCAAAGGAUCAGAGGGUCAGCUUGUCCGGGGAAGUUGCUGGAGGGGCCUACAUGAGGACAGAGGGAGCAGCCACAGGCUGAGUCCAGCCCUGGGUCCUUGUCAGCACUGACUGGCAGCAGCUCUCCAAAGUUUCAGCAUCUUCUCUGGCCCAGCUGGCUCCGAUCCCACCUCGCCGUCUCCUCGCUGAGAUGAACAGCAGGGAGAAAUCUCAAACCUGACACCUCUGGAUCGAUAAAUGGCAAAAGCAACCAUCACUGCCUGAGCAUUAUCCCGAAGGUUUGCUCCAUAUGUCCAGCUUCCUGGGGUUUUUGCUGGCACACCCGGCGAUCAAUUUCAAAGGUCUUGGAUAAAUUGAUCUCCCCACCCUUCUCCUCUUCAGUGUGAUUUGCAUUUAAAUAUAUUUUCUCCCCCAUCCAAGUUGGCUUCCUUAAAGAGAAAGAGAAAAAGUUGCUUGGUCUGUAAUUAACUGGGAAGAAUCUUUCCUCUCUCUCCCUGUGCCUUUGCAAUUCUUCAGUUAUGAAUAAUGAUUUUAGCUCAUAAAUGAAAAUUACUUUUCUA
Long non-coding RNA from Hemicordylus capensis (graceful crag lizard), 764 nucleotides. RefSeq lists it as uncharacterized. The transcript is spliced from 2 exons. The record is from RefSeq and is a predicted model, not a curated record. NCBI's taxonomy places the organism in Eukaryota, Metazoa, Chordata, Lepidosauria, Squamata, Cordylidae.